GUCGAGCGCGGGAAGCGAGUGGAUCCCUUCGGGGUGAAGCUCGUGGAACGAGCGGCGGACGGGUGAGUAACACGUGGGCAACCUGCCUGUAAGAUCGGAAUAACCCCGGGAAACCGGGGCUAAUGCCGGGUAAUACUUUCUUUCGCAUGAAGGAAAGUUGAAAGAUGGCUUCUUGCUAUCACUUACAGAUGGGCCCGCGGCGCAUUAGCUAGUUGGUGAGGUAACGGCUCACCAAGGCGACGAUGCGUAGCCGACCUGAGAGGGUGAUCGGCCACACUGGGACUGAGACACGGCCCAGACUCCUACGGGAGGCAGCAGUAGGGAAUCUUCCGCAAUGGACGAAAGUCUGACGGAGCAACGCCGCGUGAACGAUGAAGGUCUUCGGAUCGUAAAGUUCUGUUGUUAGGGAAGAACAAGUACCGUGCGAAUAGAGCGGUACCUUGACGGUACCUAACGAGGAAGCCCCGGCUAACUACGUGCCAGCAGCCGCGGUAAUACGUAGGGGGCAAGCGUUGUCCGGAAUUAUUGGGCGUAAAGCGCGCGCAGGCGGUUCCUUAAGUCUGAUGUGAAAGCCCACGGCUCAACCGUGGAGGGUCAUUGGAAACUGGGGAACUUGAGGACAGAAGAGGAGAGUGGAAUUCCACGUGUAGCGGUGAAAUGCGUAGAUAUGUGGAGGAACACCAGUGGCGAAGGCGACUCUCUGGUCUGUUUCUGACGCUGAGGUGCGAAAGCGUGGGUAGCAAACAGGAUUAGAUACCCUGGUAGUCCACGCCGUAAACGAUGAGUGCUAGGUGUUAGGG
RNAcentral lists this ribosomal RNA (800 nucleotides) under Halobacillus sp. JSM 072032. RNAcentral's name for it is "bacterial SSU rRNA". It matches the Rfam family "Bacterial small subunit ribosomal RNA", at positions 46 to 828 of the family's 1533-position model. Lineage: Bacteria; Bacillati; Bacillota; Bacilli; Caryophanales; Bacillaceae. The record is from RNAcentral.